Molecule: long non-coding RNA, 1004 nt
Organism: Zalophus californianus (California sea lion)
Lineage: Eukaryota; Metazoa; Chordata; Mammalia; Carnivora; Otariidae
Exons: 4
Source: RefSeq, a predicted model, not a curated record
GGAGACGCCACAGCGCCUGCGGCUCGGGGGGGCCUCUGGAUCGCUUGGCCCUGGAGGCCCGGGGAGCUUGCGUUCAGAAAACCCAUUCUAAGAGAGAAAGCCAUCAAGAACAGACUGGAUGGGGAAUCCCAGAAUCACAAUUCUCCAUAGCAGUCAAUCAUCCAUGUGAUGACUAAGGAUUCAGGCUGCUUCAAUCCUGUGGCUCUGCCAUCUCAACCCAUUGCCUCUACUGUAGACAAUGAAGGGGGAGAGAGAGAGAGCUGGAAAAGCCAUGUGAAUGUUCACUGCCUCCACUCAGAAGGAACCGUCACCCAACUGUAAGAAGCUGGGAAGAGUAGUUUUCAGUGGUCCUCUGAGGAGACUUCAUACUGAAAAACACUGGUACUGUCCACUAGAAUCUACCAGAAUCUACUUAUUUAUACACAGCUGAGCCCUAUAAACUCAAAGCCAAUCAACCAACAAGCCAACCCUCUCUGAUUACUGCCAGAGAGAGUCCACGAAGUAUAAAGAAUAUUCUUGGAACUCCGAGUAAAACCACAGGUGACCUAUGUUGGCUAAAUGAUCAGACUCUGUAGCCAAACAACCAUCACACCGGCGCAGGUCCGGCCCCUCACCAGUUGUGAGACCUUAAGCAAAUUAUUUAUCUUCUUUUGCAAAAGUGGAUAAUGAGUACCCUUCUCAGAGGAGUGUUGAGAGGAUGGAGUGCAGAUAAAGCCCGUGACAUUUAGCGCAAAGCCUGGCACAUAUGAAGCAUCUAUUAAAUGGUAGGCUCUAGCACUUUUAUUGUUGCAAUACGUAAAAUUAGUAAAUGGGGGACAUCAUUUAGGUUGAGAUACUUUUAAAAAUUACACAGCAAUUCUUGUUUUGUGGUUCCUUCAUUAUACUGUUGAAUUUACUGUGUGCUAGUGCUCUGUUUUGGUUUAAAAGCUAUCUAUUAGGAUUGAUAUUUCAGCAGAAAAACAUGAGUCUCUCAUCUAAUCAAUAUCUCUGAUACCUAUCAUUAU